This 944-nucleotide long non-coding RNA is filed under the name Homo sapiens (human). Its description in RNAcentral is "non-protein coding lnc-HAUS8-4:4". The record is from RNAcentral. Lineage: Eukaryota; Metazoa; Chordata; Mammalia; Primates; Hominidae.
AGACAGGACGCCCUGUCUCCUUUCUCUCCUACAACCGCUUUUUAAAAGUCUGUUUCUGUUUUUGCUGGUUCCCCGGCGAGUCGGGCCCUGCCGUGGCCCCUGAGGAGGGGGCGGCGAUCGCGCGAUGCGGCUGCGACCACGACUGCGGCGCCCAGGGGAACCCGGUGUGCGGCUCCGACGGGGUGGUCUACGCCAGCGCCUGCCGCCUGCGGGAGGCCGCCUGCCGCCAGGCCGCGCCCCUGGAGCCCGCGCCUCCCAGCUGCUGCGCCCUCGCAGGACGUGAAGCUGAAUGGAGCCGGCCUUGAGGUGGAGGACUCAGACCCUGAGCCUGAAGGGGAGGCGGAGGACAGUCAGAGCGGCUUCUCUUCCUAACGGCUGCCCUGCUGAGAGCAGGACGACACCAUCUGGCUGCAUCCUGUCCCUAUCAGCCUGUGACUCUGUAUGGUGGGUGGGCAGACCUCAGCCCAGGUGACACCUGCCUCUAAAUGAACCCAAGGAACAGAAUGACAGAGAUCUGCCCGUCCCUAGGAUGAGACUCUUGGGACCCAGGUGUGGGCUCAGCAGUCACCGGUGUGGUGCAGGGGGGACAGCUGGAGGUCCCUUGGGAGAUCCCCCACCUUCCUAGCUACAGCUGGAGCUCCAAGCACCCCAACCCCCCAGCCUUGGAGCUGGGCAUCAUUUUCCUGGGGCCACGGCAGCUCCCACAGCCUGACAUUCUGUUCCCGGGAGAAGAAACAUUCCCAGAAAGCACUCGUGUGGCCAAAAGCCUCUUUCUGAGCAAACACGAUGUGGACUAAAUUAGCAAAACAUCCAGCCGGUGGGCAACUUCAAAACGGAACAGGCUGCGUUUCUCUGAAACACAAAGCCCCGGCCUCCCUUUGGGGCACCCAGGACCCCAAAUUGCCCUAAGACUGUCCCAGCUCUCGCACCCUCUGCCUUCGCCC